GGCCCGGUGGCUCAGGUGGCUGGAGCGCCGCGCUCCUAACGCCGAGGUCAUGGGUUCGAUUCCCGGAUGGGCCA
Molecule: non-coding RNA, 74 nt
Organism: Rhinolophus ferrumequinum (greater horseshoe bat)
Lineage: Eukaryota; Metazoa; Chordata; Mammalia; Chiroptera; Rhinolophidae
Source: the annotation of a RefSeq genome assembly